This 504-nucleotide small RNA is filed under the name Pan troglodytes (chimpanzee). Its description in RNAcentral is "processed transcript". Lineage: Eukaryota; Metazoa; Chordata; Mammalia; Primates; Hominidae. The record is from RNAcentral.
UCAGCCGGCAUCGAAUCACCGCGGUUCCCAGAGGGUGUGAGGGGCUGGCGUGGACACACCGGGAAUGGACCGUACCCUUUUUCAAAAGGAACUCAUGAUGUAUACAAAUAGAAUGCUCUUCCCCUUCUUUGCUGGCCAAUUCCUACUCAUCUGUUAAAACCAAGCUUAGAGAUUACCUCUUUGAUGACAUCUCUACCAAGUCUGAUUGAGAACAUCUCUGUGAGCACAUAGUAUUCUAACAUCUCUAUCAUCAUACCAUGAAAUCAUCAGGUAAUGUAAACUCCUUCAGGGAAGGUAGGUAUUCCUGAUGUCUAGCUAUAGACCCACUCCAUGUCUGUUACAUGCUUGUUGAACAAAUGAAUGCCUUUCCACAGUCCCAUUUUUCCCACAUGAUAGAAGAUGUUUUUUGUUUUGUUUUGUUUUUGUUUGUUUGUUUUUUUGAGACAGAGUCACUCUGUGGCGCAGGCUGUAGUGCAGUGGCAUGAUCUCGGCUCACUGCAACCU